UUCGGCGGUCACAGCGGCGGGGAAACACCUCUUCCCAUUCCGAACAGAGAAGUUAAGCCCGCUGGCGCCGAUGGUACUCGGAGGGCAACCUCCCGGGAGAGUAGGUAGCCGCCGAUU
RNAcentral lists this ribosomal RNA (117 nucleotides) under Actinomycetes bacterium. The record is from RNAcentral. Lineage: Bacteria; Bacillati; Actinomycetota; Actinomycetes.